RNAcentral lists this long non-coding RNA (7582 nucleotides) under Gallus gallus (chicken). RNAcentral's name for it is "lncRNA (ENSGALG00010015476.1)". The record is from RNAcentral. Lineage: Eukaryota; Metazoa; Chordata; Aves; Galliformes; Phasianidae.
GCCAGAAUCCCUCGCCCACUUCUUCAUUUGCUUGGGCCAGGAUCACCCCAGAGGCAGUCCUGUGUAUGAAGGAGACCACUGUGGGUGCCACAGCUCCAAUGCUCCCUGUCCCAGGCACCCUGCCCACCCUGGGAACAGCAUCUUCCAGCCCGUGUGCACAGGGGUGGGAUGCUUGUAGAAUGUUUGUUUCAUAGGACAGGGUAUAUCUGUUUUUUAGAACUGGAUGCUUCUCAAGUGCUGUUAAGAGACUGCAACUUGUGGUGCUCGGAACCGUUGGCCGUUGUUAUGUAGGCACACAUUUCUCCUUGGUUGGUUUGACUUCCCAGCUGGGCAUUCAGGCUGGGUGUUACAUCACUUUCUUUUGCUAUGAGUCAUAGCUCUGAGAGACCAUGGCUGUGUCUACUGAAAAUGGAAGCCUGAAACGUUUGCGGAAGAAUAGAGGAAACCAAAAUAGUGCGAAAGGGCUGACGAUCACAAAUACAGACAGCAACAGCAAAAGCACCGAGGUGGAGUUUCUCAGCUGCAGAGAUAACAUAGCCCAGGGCUCCUUUGGGAUCUGUCUCUGGGAAUCAGCAUGGUUUGGGUGCAUCAUUUAGGGGGAAAAGCAGGAAGCAAGCUGAAUCAAGAGCAACAGUGUUAGAAUCCAUGAUGGGAUGUUCUAGCUGCUCUCUUUCGCUAUGGGAAAGCAAGGUUUAGAGAUGCCGACACCAGCAUACUCUUAAUUCUGAGGUAUUUUCUAUAGCUAUUUUUUGGUACCCAAAGGCGCAGUAAGGGUGCUCAGGGACAGACGUGAGCACUGAGCCAGCUCCACCACUCAGGCUGUGGCUGUUGGGCUGCAGCUGGCUGACCCAGGGGACAUGUUUUCAGUGGGCAUGUGAGCCAGCAGCUCUGCUUCUGUGAGCCUGCGUGUGAAGAGGAGUUCCUCCCUCGUGGGAAAUACUGACGAGAUGGUAAUUGUUUUGGUGGUUUUGCUGCAGAGCCUUCUGAAAACCCAGAUGCAGAGCAGUGGUGCUGGUAGCUCGGCCUACAGACUUGCCAUGUGUUUGAUGCAGCUGUGCUCAGAGAGGAAACUUCAGGAGCCAAGGAGUGUGAUUUCUCAAUAACCUGAUGGGCAGCAGGUAAAGCAGGGGGCUGGGACAGGGCUCCUGGGGGCAUCUGAGCGUCUGCAUUGCCUGCCUGUGCUCCUCUUGGAACAAAGGACUGCACUGUGCCCAUCAUGGAGGGGACUUUGUUGAGGUACUGGAGCCCCAGUCAGACAUCAGGGGUCUGUCACACAGCAUCACCCCGGGAAUGAAGUGGCCCCUCGUGCUCAUGGUUGAGCUGCUAUGGGCUGUUUUGGCACUUAGGUAACAAUGUGAUUUCCUGUCUCAUGACAGUUCAGAUAUUAAAGGUCACAUCUGCCUAAUACUUUCAGUCUUAACUAUGGCAAACUUUCCCAGCGCUUCUAAAGCAGACAGUUGUGGUAUGGUUCCCUUCUGAACCAUAUUCAGAAACCAGAGGUUGUUCUGUAGCUCUUUAUCAUUAUUGUUGCUACUACUAGUAGGUCUUGUACAGGGAUUACUCAGAACAGCAGCACAACAACAACUCUGCCCAGAGAAGGAAAGGUCAGGAUCUUCAGGUGCUGCUGCCACAAGCCUGCAGCCCGCUGUUCUGCGUCUCAGCAGCAGAUCUUGGUCAAAGCUGCACCAAAGAACAACUCCAGGGACAGCCCUCUCCUCUCUCCUGCUGUCUGUCCUUACCGUGCCUCGCAGCCUGUGAGGAUGCUGCAGAUGCACUCUGUGUGAACACUCAGGAGAUGAGGGAGCAGGAGAAAGGACACGCACAGAUUGAGGCUAAGGAGAAAAGAAACCCCAUGUGGUAAUUGCUUGCUAGAAAUAAAUGCAAGGGACUGAAUUCUUGGUGGCUCCAUGCAGAUUCACAGCAGCUGAGAAUCUGUCCCUGGAAACUGCAAGGGGUGCUAUGGCUGUGACUGUGUAUGCAAGCUUCAGGUUAUCUGUAUAAUGAGGUAGUCCAAAAAGUUGGAAGCUUUGUGCAAAUAUCUGAGAAUAUCCCCAGGACAGCAGGAGCCUUUGUGCUCGUCCUUAACCAGGUGGUAUUUGCCCGGCUUUCUGGAGCAGCUUGAAGUCCCCUUCAGAACAAAACCACCUUUAACAAACACAAACGUACUUUGUGUUCUCUAUGGAAGCCCAGUGCCCAGGCCAUGUUACUAUGUUACUGAACUCUAGUUUUUGCUGUGCUUCAACACAGUUAAAAGCCUGAAAGCUGAGCCAUUUUAAAGCAUCCCAUAAGACCCUUGAGUCAUGCAAAAUCCUAUCCCGUUUUUCCCUCUGGGUGAAGAGUUAUGAAUGAUAGAAGUGCUUUUAAAUCAUAGAUAAAGAAUGCUGAGUGAUGGGUUAGUAAAAAUAAUUUUAAGAACUCCCUAUUUUCAUCUAGAUUUUAUUUCCCUGGGUGUGAAUUCAACAGGUGGGGCUGAAAUAUCACAGCUUGCCCCCCAAAAGGAGCGGCGUGCAGCUGAAUCCCCGCAAGAGUCACUAUUCCUUUUCUUGCUUUCUUUACUGCUUCAGGCAAAUUAUGAUUGUAAUACUUCUCCGUUCUCUAGCACAGCUCAUUUCCCCACCCUGUACCAGCUCAAUUUCUCUGGCAGGACUGCUGGGAAUGGCGGACCGCUGCUUCCGUCUGCUCCCAAACCUCCUGCUGACAAAACUGCACCUCUGUGAUCCUACCCAACCUGCUUCUGACCCAGCCGGGUAGGCAGGGGGGUCAACGUGGUGUCCUCUGUGCUUGCAUCUACCAGUGCUGCUCUGCCAGCUGCUGACCCAGCACCAUGAGGAUACUCAGAUCCCCUGGAUAUUCUUCUUACUAGAAUAAAGCUACCUGGAACUACUGCUUGGUUCCGGAGGUAAGUGCUGCACUGCCCUUCCAUUCUACUUUUCCAUAUUUGCUACCUAUUACAGUGUUAAUCAUUGGGAUCCCUCUCUUUUCAGUUUCCUUUCCCUGAAACGCGGUGGUCAGACUUCCCAGACCGUGCAUUCUUUGUUGACCAGGAAUUUCUAAAUGCCAAAACAGAGCCAAAUGGAAAUGCUUUGCAGGGGGUUUUGUUACCGCGAGCCAUAGAAACAUUCAAUCAGGAAAAUAAGUCUCUCUUUUGAUUUCAGUCACCAUUUUGGGGCAUGCAUUUUAGGUCAGACAUUAUUUUUGACACAUACAAGACAACAAUUGGACAAACACACCAUUUUUUGGCUAGUAUUUCAUUUAAAAAAAAAAUUGAGGAAGACAGGUAUGUUUCAAUACAUGUGUAGCUCAGAUCUGUGCAAUUGAACUGCUUUUUUGCUUAGGGAAAAUAAUGUAAUUUAGUAACCUUGCUUGUUGCAUAGAGAAGAGCGGUUAUGCUUCUUCAUCAAACUGAAACAUCCCAUUACACGGAUUUCAGAUGAUUUCUCAUGCUAUUUUUUCAGGUUUCACUUUUUUUUUUUUUUUUCCUCCUUUAAAAGGAACUUGAAGCAACUCUCUGCUCAGCUCCCGCUGGUGAAAAAGCAGCCCUAUCCACUGCUCACUGUGAUGGGAAGAGAAGAAGUUGACAGCAACCUUUGGGCAUUCUGCUUCCUCCUCUUUCCCCAUCAGACCUUCCCUUUUGUAGUACAUCUGGAGGGCCACGAACAGCCUUGACAACAUCCCCAGAGGUCUCCUGCUUUCAAAAUGCCACGCGUUGAGCCUAUAUUGUAGUGAGCUGAGAUACUAACUUCAUGUGAGAUGAACUUCACGUGUGUUAACCUGAUGAGCUAGGUCUUGCCAGUGCUGUGAAUAGGUCUGGCUGUAGAAAACGCUUCUGGAGUGAGCAAAAAUUGCUCAUAUUCAGCUAAAUAUUCUGAAAACAGAAAGGCCUGCAGAGGAAGUGAACCUAGCAGCUAUCCAUAUAUUACUCAAACAUGACCACAUGCAUUCCGCUCUGUUUCUCAGCAAACCCCUCUGAAAAGGCUGUGCAUACGUCUUACUUCACAUGCAAGCGUUGACCUUUCCCAAUGAUGUCAGAGGAGAGCAAGCCAUAGGCCUGUUACAGAGCCCUGUGUCUCAUAUGCUUGUCCCAGCCACUGGGUGCUUUGUGAUGGACAUGCAGGGAUCGCAUACAUUUUCUACAGAAAGAGAGACCUGUCACCAUGGUGCUGGGCUCAGAGAGCUGCAGAGCAAGAGCUUCACCGAGCUGUAUGGCUGAAUUGUUCCCUUCUUCAUUGUCCAUUUAAAAAAAUCUAAAUGGAAGAUGGGAAGCUGCCUGCUUGAGGUUUGUGUAUGAAUAAUUAUAGGUACCUGCACUAGCAAGGGACUUUGUGAAAGACGAGAAAAUAGUUGGGCCUCUUCAGGGAAUGUGUGGCAAGCAGGUCAUUUAAAAAUAACUUUUGGAGGCUCUGGGAAGUGGGUGAAAUGAAGUAACAAACAGCUUCUGAAAAAACAGCCGACAAGGGAGCGUUUCAUCUGAUAUCACAGACUGCUAGUUUUCAUUCUGAUCCUGUUGUUGUCUUCUUUAUAUAGCUCAUAGAGUGCCCUUAAGUUGUCUCCAAAGGAUAUUAAUUUUCCACUGGCAUCAGAAAGGCUGCAAUGAUACUUGCACCAAGGUAAGCGACCCCCUCAAGGUUUCUGCACCCACAGCUCCGGACUGGCUGGAAACACAGGCAAUUAAUAAAUCAGAAAAUGAGUGCCUCUCGGCCCUCCUUGCUCCAGGGAAGCCAACAGGAGCUUUGUCAGUAGGAGCAGAACAAGACCACAGAGUGUGCCCCAUAAAGGAUGUGCAUGUGGAAAAGCUCUGCCGUCUAGAACGAAUGCCAGCUCUUAAGAGUUCUGAUCAAAGUCUGAAGUGGACUGAAGCAGAAAACACUGAACAAGAGCUGGGAUCCACCACAGAUGGGGGUGGCUUCGGCCACUACGGGAGGACUGCCACAGCCACGUGGUGAUGCUGAGAGACUUCCCAGCAAGCAGAGAACAUGCUGGUUCUUGCUCUGGGGUAUGGAAGGCCAUCUCAGUCGAUCAUGCCAAAGACAUCAGGACUUAUUCCUUGUGAAGCCUGGGUGGUAACUGGUAAUGAAGACCGUAACAGCCACAAUCUGUGGUAUGCUUUAAUCUACACAAAAUCUGGGAGCAUAAACAUCACUGAGCAUGCUGGGAUAGGGACUGAGAGUCACGUGCUGAAAGCCAGGCUGUUUCCCAGGGUCCUCUUACAGUUUUCAUGCUGGUUGGAAGUAGAUCAUGAGGUUGAUGGCACUUGUCAUCAUUACUUUACCCUCCUUUUUUGUGUUUGUGCAGAGAACCAUUUGCAAUGUGAAACAGUGCAGGACAUUGCCAAACAAAGCCAACCAAACACCCUGGGUAUGCUGCUUGGAUGAAAGAGCUCUUUAGAAGAUGGACAAAUGGACGCAGGGGACAAAAGAGUAAUGCCAACAAAGUGUGUGUAUACACACAGCCCUCUACACGCUGGAAUCUCAGUCAUAAAGUAGCGUUCUCUUCCUCACCACCGCUUACUAACUCGCUGUUUUCUUUCCAGAAGAAUGAAGGCCUUGACAGAAUGCAAGCGAUGAGUAAUGACUUUGCUUUCUUCCAUUCCAGCUGCCACACAGGCACAUAUGUUUUGGGGUUCUCAGUGUGCUCUUGGCUUCCCAAAAUGCUGUGACAUGGAAAACCCUCAGCUGAGUUGGACAGAUAGAUAAACCAAGGCAUCGAGUACUUACGCAUCUAACGCUUGGGCACUCAAAUCCUCAUAAAGGAACUGGGAGCUCAGGAGACGCACAUGCAGGAGGCAUUUGAGAGCCAGGACUUCAGCAAAGAUUCAGGUAUUUGCUCAACCACAGCAAAAUGUCAUCCCCUUCAAGUGGUGAAUGAGCCCUUGAUCUCUGCAAGGUCAAGAUUUUUGCCUUCUGGCUUUAGGUGCUAGUGGUGAGAGACCUGUCCAAAGGUGCUGUUUUCUAGUGCUGUUGUCUAGUGCUCAUUUCUCUACCUAUUCACCUGUACACGUGAAGACCUCUGCUGCUGGCCCUUGUCUGCAGGAAGCUUGGUGUGUUGAGUCUCCUCAUCAACCCAUCUGUUGGGGUGACCGUUCAGCCCCUUGCUGGCUCACAGUCUUGCUUUUGGGAUAUUUCUUCCCUUUUACUCUGGAGCAUCUUAAAUGUGGGUCCACUGAAUGUACAGAUUGAGAGCAGGGAAUGAAGGAGACGUGUUGCAGAAUCAACCCACCGACGUGUGCUGCUCACCCACGCACAUGGGGAGAGGGAAAGAUUAAAAGAUUAAAGUUACAAACUGGAAAGCGCCCCAGGCUACCACGGAGAUCCGAGUGACUGCCUGCGAAGCCAAACUCCCACUCUGGAGGUGCCGCUCCACGCUCGCUGUCACUCACUCCACACUUGCUUUCUCCUGCCAUCCCUUCCUGCUACUGCCUUUGCUAUUUUUACAGGCUGAAAAAUUAAGUAAUCAUCUGUUUUGGCCACGAAGGAGGGCCCUGGGCAACUCCUGGUUGUCACUGCAGGGCUCGUGGGCGUAGCCUUCUGCUCCAUCGCUGCACUCCUGUACUUCUAGACCUUGAAGACUCCUCCAUCAGCCUUCUGCUUUGCCCCAUCUGCCCAUAUCACGGCCAGGUUUGGUUCGGAUGCGGCUCAGGACUUGCGUGGGAGGGGCAGCAAUUUGCAGCAGUUAGAAUUUCAGUAAUGACAUAGGGAAGUUUGCAAGGCCUUCAGUGCUUUCUCGCCCCUACAGUGAGGUGCGAAUCAAGGCUUGCUCUACCAAGCUUACAAUUAAAUAUGCCCACAGUAUCAUACUCCUUCCUGUCAUUUGUGAAGAUUUUCUCACUUUCUUUUCUUUCCCUUCGUUAGAGCUGGACAAAGUUUUGGGGCUGAAAAGGCACAGAAGUAAAACUAAGGUCUGGGAGCUCCAGAACAGUUAUUAGCGCAGUGCUUGCGUUGGUAGGCAUGAUGCAAAGAAGGCUGUGGAUGCCCCAUCCCUGGAGGCAUUCUAGGCCGGGCUGGAUGUGGCUCUGGGCAGCCUGGUCUGGUGGUUGGUGACCCUGCACAUAGCAGGGGGAUUGAAACUCGAUGGUCAUUGUGGUCCUUUUCAAGCCGGGCCAUUCUAUGAUAUGAUAUUUUUGUUUGACUGUAGCAGUUAAUCUGAGCCAAAACGAUGAUUUCAUUUAAUUCUUGGAGUAUUGAGCUCUAGAAAUGUUUCUUUUCCAAUUUGCUUUCUGUUACUGUAUUUGAGUUUGGGGGCACUUUUUGUCAGAAACAAGCUGUUUCAAAGAAUAAAAACGGUUUGGCUCUGCUGCUUUGAGUAUGUUGAAAUGGUGUAUUUUGACAUCUCAGAAGUUCCUCCUCCUCCCUGUGCUUUUCAGAUGAAGGUAUUCCUCAGACUCAGGCUGUACUUGUGAAUGUGUUCAGUCCCCUUAGGGUUCCAUAUUUAAUCUGGUCUCCCAGCUAUCAGCUAUGCUGCCUGGCUCUGCUGUUGUGUGGAGGUGACAAAGGAGCACUGGGACCUUCUCGGUCCUGCAAGAAAUGGUGCUCAUUGCACGUGAGAUGGUGGGACAGCCAACUCCUAGCUUGGCUUUCCUGCUGAG